This 343-nucleotide ribosomal RNA is filed under the name uncultured bacterium. Its description in RNAcentral is "bacterial SSU rRNA". It matches the Rfam family "Bacterial small subunit ribosomal RNA", at positions 335 to 664 of the family's 1533-position model. The record is from RNAcentral.
ACUCCUACGGGAGGCAGCAGUGGGGAAUAUUGCACAAUGGGGGAAACCCUGAUGCAGCCAUGCCGCGUGUGUGAAGAAGGCCUUGGGUUGUAAAGCACUUUCAGUAGGGAGGAAGGUAGUGUAGUUAACACCUGCAUUAUUUGUACGUUACCUACAGAAGAAGCACCGGCUAACUCCGUGCCAGCAGCCGCGGUAAUACGGGAGGGUGCGAGCGUUAAUCGGUAAUUACGUGGGCGUAAAGCGCAUGCAGGCGGCCUGUUAAGUCAGAUGUGAAACGCCCGGGGUCUUAACCGUCGGAAUUGCAUUUGAAACUGGCAGGCUAGAGUCUUGUAGGAGGGGUUAG